GCCCAAUCGGUCCCUUAAGAUGAAGCAAAGGGAACAAAUCUAUUUCCUGGAACUUCAUCUCUGCGAAUCCUCUCCAGCAGCUUACUAUCUCACUCCAAAAUGGUCGGUCGAACACUUAAAUGACUCCGCCGCGCCGGAGCUCAUCGUCGGCGGUGGAAAAGCUCCUACUCGUCUCAAAUUCACACCAUUUUUACCGUCUCCAACUUACGAUUUCAGAUCUUCAAUUAACCUCUCCUAAUUCCUACCAAAACACACAAGCCGAGUCGAAACUUCUUAUGAAUCUCAAGCAAAAGAUUUAAAUCAAAUCCUCAUAUGGAGGAAGUCAAGACCUCAUAACCGAUAUGAUGACAACGAGUUUGAGGCGGAUUGAAGGAUCUUACCUACUUUCGACGGUAACCGUGCGGAGCUGAAGAGGAUGAUGAACGCGAGCUUAAGAUUCGUAUGGUGAUGUAUUGAGUUGAUUGUGGGAGAAAUUGCAGGAAUCAUUGUGGAUGGUGUGUUGAAUUGUAAUAGUUGAUUUGCAGAAUUAUUUUCUGGAGGAUGAAGAUGGUGAGAGUUGAGUUGAAUCACGGUGGUGAAGAUGAAUGCAAUGCAGGUGAGAAUGGUUCAGUUUGCAGAACUCACUACGAGAGGAUGAAGACGGUGAGAGUUGGUUAUGAGUUGAAGGAAUUAUGAAGCUCGAUGGUGGUUCUGGAAGAUUGAAGAAGAGGCUUCAAGGCUAACUCAUUAUCUUAUAUAUAGUUCUGUUGCAUUGGAUAUGAGGUUUUCAGUUUGAACUUGGUGCUUGUGGGCCGUGUUUUUUUCUAUAAUGCGUUUGCGUUUCGUGCUGCGUUUUAUCAUUUCGUUUUGCAAAUUCGUUUGCUGCAUUCUUCUCCAGCUGCUUACGUGUACUCUCUUUGAAAAUUCUCCAAUUGCAUUUCAUCUCUUUUGUCUUA
Lathyrus oleraceus (garden pea) is the source of this 935-nucleotide long non-coding RNA. RefSeq lists it as uncharacterized. NCBI's taxonomy places the organism in Eukaryota, Viridiplantae, Streptophyta, Magnoliopsida, Fabales, Fabaceae. The transcript is spliced from 2 exons. The record is from RefSeq and is a predicted model, not a curated record.